RNAcentral lists this ribosomal RNA (945 nucleotides) under uncultured archaeon. RNAcentral's name for it is "bacterial SSU rRNA". It matches the Rfam family "Archaeal small subunit ribosomal RNA", at positions 1 to 940 of the family's 1478-position model. The record is from RNAcentral.
GAAUUCACUAGUGAUUUCCGGUUGAUCCUGCCGGACCCGACUGCUAUCAGAGUGGGACUAAGCCAUGCGAGUCGACGUAGCAAUACGUGGCGAACGGCUCAGUAACACGUAGUCAACAUGCCCAGGGGACGUGGAUAAUCUCGGGAAACUGAGAAUAAACCACGAUAGGUCACGAUUUCUGGAAUGGAUCUUGGCUUAAAUCUACAUGGCCCCUGGAUUGGACUGCGGCCGAUCAGGCUGUUGGUGAGGUAAUGGCCCACCAAACCUAUAACCGGUACGGGCUCUGAGAGGAGGAGCCCGGAGAUGGGCACUGAGACAAGGGCCCAGGCCCUAUGGGGCGCAGCAGGCGCGAAACCUCUGCAAUAGGCGAAAGCCUGACAGGGUUACUCUGAGUGAUUUCCGCUAAGGGGAUCUUUUGGCACCUCUAAAAAUGGUGCAGAAUAAGGGGUGGGCAAGUCUGGUGUCAGCCGCCGCGGUAAUACCAGCACCCCGAGUGGUCGGGACGAUUAUUGGGCCUAAAGCAUCCGUAGCCGGUUCUGCAAGUCUUCCGUUAAAUCCAGCCGCUCAACGGAUGGGCCGCGGAGGAUACUAUAGGACUAGGAGGCGGGAGAGGCAAGCGGUACUCAGUGGGUAGGGGUAAAAUCCUUUGAUCCAUUGAAGACCACCAGUGGCGAAGGCGGCUUGCCAGAACGCGCUCGACGGUGAGGGAUGAAAGCUGGGGGAGCAAACCGGAUUAGAUACCCGGGUAGUCCCAGCUGUAAACGAUGCAGACUCGGUGAUGGGCUAGCCUUGUGCCAGCCCAGUGCCGCAGGGAAGCCGUUAAGUCUGCCGCCUGGGGAGUACGGUCGCAAGACUGAAACUUAAAGGAAUUGGCGGGGGAGCACCACAAGGGGUGAAGCCUGCGGUUCAAUUGGAUUCAACGCCGGGAAUCGAAUUCCCGCGGCC